AGAGUUUGAUCAUGGCUCAGGAAGAACGCUAGCGGCAGGCCUUAUACAUGCAAGUCGAGGGGCAGCAUUUACUUCGGUAAAUGGCGACCGGCGCACGGGUGAGUAACGCGUAUGCAACCUACCUUUAACUGGGGCAUAGCUCGAGGAAACUCGAAUUAAUUCCCCAUAGUACAUUAUAAUAUCUCAUGAUAUAAAUGUUAAAGAUUUAUCGGUUAAAGAUGGGCAUGCGUCUGAUUAGUUUGUUGGUAAGGUAACGGCUUACCAAGACUACGAUCAGUAGGGGGUCUGAGAGGAUGAUCCCCCACACUGGUACUGAGACACGGACCAGACAUCUACGGAUGGCAGCAGUAAGGAAUAUUGGGCAAUGGGCGCAAGCCUGACCCAGCCAUGCCGCGUGCAGGAUGACGACCCUAUGGGUUGUAAACUGCUUUUAUAUAGGAAGAAAAUACUCUUGCGAGAGGAUCUGACGGUACUAUAUGAAUAAGGACCGGCUAACUCCGUGCCAGCAGCCGCGGUAAUACGGAGGGUUCAAGCGUUUUCCGGAUUUAUNGGGUUAAAGAGUGCGUAGGUGGUUUAU
RNAcentral lists this ribosomal RNA (577 nucleotides) under uncultured marine bacterium. Its description in RNAcentral is "bacterial SSU rRNA". It matches the Rfam family "Bacterial small subunit ribosomal RNA", at positions 8 to 583 of the family's 1533-position model. The record is from RNAcentral.